RNAcentral lists this ribosomal RNA (479 nucleotides) under uncultured bacterium. Its description in RNAcentral is "bacterial SSU rRNA". It matches the Rfam family "Bacterial small subunit ribosomal RNA", at positions 28 to 491 of the family's 1533-position model. The record is from RNAcentral.
GAUGAACGCUGGCGGCGUGCUUAAUACAUGCAAGUCGAACGAAGCACUUCUCCCGUUGAUUGAAUUAGCUUGCUAAUGAUUGAAACAAUUGAAGUGACUGAGUGGCGGACGGGUGAGUAACGCGUGGGUAACCUGCCUUGUACAGGGGGAUAACAGUUGGAAACGACUGCUAAUACCGCAUAAGCACACAGUACCGCAUGGUACGGUGUGAAAAACUCCGGUGGUACAAGAUGGACCCGCGUCUGAUUAGCUAGUUGGUGAGGUAACGGCCCACCAAGGCAACGAUCAGUAGCCGACUUGAGAGAGUGAUCGGCCACAUUGGGACUGAGACACGGCCCAAACUCCUACGGGAGGCAGCAGUAGGGAAUAUUGCACAAUGGGGGAAACCCUGAUGCAGCGACGCCGCGUGAAGGAUGAAGUAUUUCGGUAUGUAAACUUCUAUCAGCAAGGAAGAAAAUGACGGUACUUGACUAAGAAGC